UUCGCAGUAUAUUCCUGUGAGCUUGCUGCUUUUUAAGAUCAAAUCACAGGAGUAUACUGUGAG
Anopheles culicifacies is the source of this 63-nucleotide non-coding RNA. The record is from Rfam. Lineage: Eukaryota; Metazoa; Arthropoda; Insecta; Diptera; Culicidae.